GAGUUUGAUCCUGGCUCAGGACGAACGUUGGCGGUGCGCUUUAUGCAUGCAAGUCGAGCGAGAAGCAGUUGUUCCGUAAGGUUCAGCUGUGGACAGCGGCGAACGGGUGCGUAACACGUGAGAAACCUGCCCCCCAGACCGGGAUAGCCCAGGGAAACUUGGAUUAAUACCGGAUACUCUCUUUGGACCGCAUGGUCCGCUGAGGAAAGGUCCGCUGCUGGGGGAUGGUCUCGCGGCCUAUCAGGUAGUUGGUGAGGUAACGGCUCACCAAGCCGAAGACGGGUAGCUGGUCUGAGAGGACGAUCAGCCACACUGGAACUGAGACACGGUCCAGACUCCUACGGGAGGCAGCAGCAGGGAAUAUUGCACAAUGGGCGAAAGCCUGAUGCAGCGACACCGCGUGCGGGAUGAAGGCCUUCGGGUUGUAAACCGCUUUCAGGAGGGAAGAAAAUGACGGUACCUCCAGAAGAAGGCCCGGCCAACUACGUGCCAGCAGCCGCGGUAAUACGUAGGGGCCAAACGUUGUCCGGAUUUAUUGGGCGUAAAGGGCUCGUAGGCGGUUCAACAAGUCGGUCGUGAAAGACCGGGGCUCAACUCCGGGACGCCGGUCGAUACUGUUGUGACUAGAGUUCGGUAGAGGUGAGUGGAAUUCUCAGUGUAGCGGUGGAAUGCGCAGAUAUUGAGAGGAACACCAUUAGCGAAGGCGGCUCACUGGGCCGAUACUGACGCUGAGGAGCGAAAGCGUGGGGGAGCAAACAGGAUUAGAUACCCUGGUAGUCCACGCUGUAAACGAUGAACACUAGGUGUAGCGGAUUUAUUCAUGUCUGCUGUGCCGUAGCUAACGCAUUAAGUGUUCCGCCUGGGGAGUACGGCCGCAAGGCUAAACUCAAAGGAAUUGACGG
Molecule: ribosomal RNA, 902 nt
Filed under: uncultured bacterium
Lineage: Bacteria
Description: bacterial SSU rRNA
Rfam family: Bacterial small subunit ribosomal RNA
Source: RNAcentral